RNAcentral lists this long non-coding RNA (299 nucleotides) under Homo sapiens (human). RNAcentral's name for it is "HSALNT0249532". The record is from RNAcentral. Lineage: Eukaryota; Metazoa; Chordata; Mammalia; Primates; Hominidae.
UGAGCUCCAAAAAGAAUGCUCCAAGGAAGAUAUCCAGGGACUUAUUAUACUUCACUUUAGAGCUGUGAUAGCAGCUUGCCUGAAUUGAGAUAUUUACCUUUUCAAUUCAGUCCUGGUGGCAUAGCAAUGUUUGCUGCUCCAUAUUCUGGAAAUAAUGUUGAUUGGGCUAAUGUGUAAUAUUUGCUAUGGCAACUUCGGCCAUCUCCUUGCUAUAUGUAUACAUGGAUUAUUUGGGACUAAACACACAAACCCAGUGAUCCCAAGGCAACUAGAGUAUGUCAAAUCUCAUCCAUACUCCC